RNAcentral lists this transfer RNA (74 nucleotides) under Anaerolinea sp. RNAcentral describes it as "tRNA-Glu". It matches the Rfam family "tRNA". Rfam says of the family: Transfer RNA (tRNA) molecules are approximately 80 nucleotides in length. Their secondary structure includes four short double-helical elements and three loops (D, anti-codon, and T loops). Further hydrogen bonds mediate the characteristic L-shaped molecular structure. tRNAs have two regions of fundamental functional importance: the anti-codon, which is responsible for specific mRNA codon recognition, and the 3' end, to which the tRNAs corresponding amino acid is attached (by aminoacyl-tRNA synthetases). tRNAs cope with the degeneracy of the genetic code in two manners: having more than one tRNA (with a specific anti-codon) for a particular amino acid; and 'wobble' base-pairing, i.e. permitting non-standard base-pairing at the 3rd anti-codon position. Lineage: Bacteria; Bacillati; Chloroflexota; Anaerolineae; Anaerolineales; Anaerolineaceae. RNAcentral also lists the same sequence under 4 other names. The record is from RNAcentral.
GCCCCCAUCGUCUAGAGGCCCAGGACGCCACCCUUUCAAGGUGGAGAUCAGGGGUUCGAAUCCCCUUGGGGGCA